RNAcentral lists this ribosomal RNA (234 nucleotides) under uncultured bacterium. RNAcentral's name for it is "partial 16S ribosomal RNA". It matches the Rfam family "Bacterial small subunit ribosomal RNA", at positions 28 to 263 of the family's 1533-position model. The record is from RNAcentral.
GACGAACGCUGGCGGCGUGCUUAACACAUGCAAGUCGAGCGGUAAGGCCCUUUCGGGGGUACACGAGCGGCGAACGGGUGAGUAACACGUGGGUGACCUGCCCUCAGCUCUGGGAUAAGCCUGGGAAACCGGGUCUAAUACUGGAUAUGACUCCAUGACGCAUGUUGUGGGGUGGAAAGCCUUGUGCGGCUGAGGAUGGGCCCGCGGCCUAUCAGCUUGUUGGUGGGGGGAUGG